AACGGCUGGAGAUGCUCUUAGGGGCUUGGGGCGGCUUCCCGAAGCGCCGAUUUCCGCGGCGAGAAAAAAUCAUGGUAGACCGGUCAAAACCAGCUGGGCACACAUCGGUUGGAUGUUUUUUUUCUAACACUAGAAGGGCCCAGAAGGACCCAACACUUCAUUGACUAUGACGAAGAGACAUUACAGCUUACAACAAGGACACUAAAGAAACUGAAAAUAAAAACAAGUCCCCGCAUCUUAUAGAAAGGACCCCAAACAUAAAACUGAAAAUGCGAUCGGGUCCACGCUGCGCCGCAGUGGAUACAAUCAUCGCCGGCGCUGGGGACGGACCACUUGGUCCCGCGAGACCUCUGUAGCAAGCCACAGACUCCAAUUUGGCACAGCACUGCCUCCCUUCUGGCAUCGUGGCUGGGAGGAACAAGGAUGGUCGCCCUUCGGCCAGAGGAAUCGAUGGAUUGUUGGAGGAGACCGAUGCCGUAGCUCCUCCAGAUCCACCAUCGAAUGAGCUUAGGAUCCCCAUCACCAGCUUCCAACGAGAUACCGGAAGCCCUUUCCCAGAUGCGGGGAUAACACCACCUACGCCGGAAGCUCGGAUCCGGCGAGGCCCAGCACCACGAGAGGAGGCGAGGCGAGAUCUCUCCACCUUUCUGCUGCCAUCACCACGAGUCCACGACGGCAAGAAACAGAGGAAGGAGCCACCGCAGCUCCUAGACGUUGGGCAGACGUGAGCUUAUUGGGAGGGAUACUGCCAGAUCCGAUGUCCACCAGUCCCCUCCACCAUGGAGGCGAGGUAGGAGACAACGACGGCCACCACCAGACUCUGCUCACAAGGUCUAGCAGCAGGUAUCCCGACUGGCAUGAGGCCACACCACGGCAUAAAGCCAAGUCUAACUAAGUCUACUGCUACUCUAAUAUACACUAGUUGACAGCCCGUGCGUUGCCAUGGGCUUUGUAAAAUUUGUACUGGUUGCAUGUCGAAUUUAAUAUGAACAGAAAAGAUAGCCAAUAACACACAAAAAUGAUUUAAAAUCCCCUUCACUUGCAAUGUAUUUCGAUAAAAAAUCGACCGUAUAAUAGAAAGACCUAUCAUAUCUGAUUCACAAAAUAAAGAAGGGGCUACAAAAACAUUAAACUCUUUAUUGUGCUCUGCAUUACAAAUGAUAAUAACACUUGAAUGCCUUUAUUAUUUAUGCUUAAGAUACCAUCUCACAAAAGCAAGUGUAUUAUUAUUAUCCAUUAAUUGAAGACAAACAUAUGGAGUAUUUUGUUCCCUUUAAACAAAUGUUCGAACAAGUUACAACCAGAAACUCAAUUCCAUAAAUAAAUAAAUUGAUUGCAAUAUGCAAAAGCCUAUAUUCUAGAACAUGCAAUUCACCAUUUAGGUACUACUGCAACAAAACACAUCUUCUAGAACAUGUUACUAUCUUGGGAGAGGUAAAUACAUCAAUCUUUGAUAACAUUUAUUGUUAAAAAAUUGUGUAUACAUUUAUUUGUAUUUUUAUAAUAUUGUGAUAAAUCCAUUGACGAUUUUCUUCUAGUUUGUUUGAGCGGUGUAACGCCUGAUUUGGUGUAUCGGUUCAAAAGUAACUCACAGAAGACUCAAAAGAAAAUGUGUGUUGUAGUGUGAACUCUGACAUAAACCGAUCGAAGGAAAAGCCUAAUUCGGUAUACACUCAGACUUUAAGCUCAAAUAUAAGUGUGAAUCACAGCCACCACCAGACUCUGCUCACAAGGUCUAGCAGCAGGUAUCCCGACUGGCAUGAGGCCACACCACGGCAUAAAGCCAAGUCUAACUAAGUCUACUGCUACUCUAAUAUACAUAUGGAAGAACCAGGGACCUCUCCUCAGCCAUCGCCAGCCAGCAUCGCCGACGGACGAGGCACCAGAUCGGGCCGGCCGGGGAUGAGUGACUCUCAAAAGGGGGCGGUGGAAGAGAGGAGAAGGGGAAACUGCCGCGACCUCUUUUUCCAGCAGCCAUCGCCAGCCAGCGUCGCCGACGGACGAGGCAUCAGAUCGGGCCAGCCGGGGAUGAGCGACUCUCAAAAGGGGCGGUGGAAGAGAGGAGAAGGGGAAACUGCCGCGACCUCUUUUUCCAGCAUCGGUUGGAUGUAUGCUGCAAAAUGCAAAUACAUAGAGAUUAAUCACUCCAAUCAAUAGUGUGCUAUCAGUGUAGUUAUUGUGUGGUGGGGCAUACUCACUUAUUGACAGGAAUACUAAAACUACUAGACACGGUGCCCUUGUCAAAGCGAACAGAUGGGAGGUGAUAACUGAGCAUCUGAGCGCAUGCUUGGAUACGAAUUUUCGACAGUUUUUACUCUUCAUCGUUGGGUCUCUAUUUGUCUCUACCUUUUAAACACUCAUUUUGAGUGCUUGUAGCUUUAGCUUUAGCCUGAUUUUAGUAAUCUUCCAGUUACCAGGACAUUAACUUAGCUUACAUAGAUACUCGUGGUUUGAGACCAAGGUAAUAUCAUGGACUAGGAACACAAUCUAUCACACAGAGCAGUUCACAUGUUUACAUGUACACCAUGACAACAUGCUAACUACUCCCUCUGUCUCAAAAUAAGUGUCUCAACUUUGUACUAACUUUAGCACAAAAUUGAGACACUUACUUUGGGAGGGAGUACAAGUUUUCUUCAACACAUACUCCAAUGCCAGCAACACUUGAUAUGUGUACGGACAAUGAGGGGUGUUUUCAUCAAAAUUUGUCCCCAUACUAUUUGUAUUACAUAAAGUGCAAGCUUUUUCACCACCUUUUUUCAUUUCUUCUCUUUUCUUUUUUCCUUUUUUUCAUUCUCAGACCAGCUUCCCACAGACCAACUGACUACAUGUAUAAAAACAUAGACGGUCGAAAUCUACCUAAUAGUGCAAUUUACAAAGCAGGACAGGUUACUUCUCACCAUCCAAGCUUCAAAUCUUGUGGUAACAUGCAUGAGAUUUGGAAGCAGUCAACCAGUCAGUCACUCAGAACUUAAUCAUGUUCACAAGACACUCUUCGGACAUUCUUUCAUGAGCUCUGCGGAAAGCACAGAUUUGGUGUCACUACCUGUUGUAUGCACCACGGGAGACAAAGAACUGAUAAUCUGGAUGGCCGGCACGGCUGUCUCUCAGCCAGUCGGCAGCAGCUUGCCUUAAGCAGCUAGCCAGUUUCCAAUCACCAUCAGUUGAGGACCAGACUGAGUUGCUAAACUUGUAGGAAGCCAAACCAAAAACUGGGAGUGGUAUGUUUGGUGUGCUAUCAGGAGCCCACAGAUUAUCUGGACACAGGAAUGCAGAUAAAAUUCAGAUGGUGGCAUUUAGGCAGGUAGGCAGCACAGGAUGACAGCAUUUAGGUUCCAUUAUCUCAUUGCUCACUAACAAGGUUAACUAACAUACAGAAGAGGGCAUAGACAUGCACUGGAAACUAUAUAUAGAGAAAAGCAAUAAAAACAUAAAGCUCUCUUUUUCUUUCUAUAAAUGACAGCUCACAGUAGGUAAACCUCAGUGCAUCCAAAACAUUAGAACUUGUUAAAGCAGUGAUACAACUACCAUAUAUAUUCAUUUCAUAGCUCAAGAAUUCCUAGCAUCGAGGUUUGUCAAAAUCAAAACCUAUUUUUUGCUAUUAAUUGGGUUUACAGAUUCUAGCUGGUCACAGAUGUGAGUUGCCAGGGCAUCUAGGCACCAACUGAAAAUGGAAUGACUCAAUUAAUAGUAGAUAGCUGUUUUAUGUCCUAUUCAUUUCUUUCCCCAGUGUACUGAAAACAUGCUAAAUGUAUGUACAUGCCUAACAAUCAGAAAAAUAAGCACUAUAGCCAAAAGUAAGACUCCCCAUGUUCAUUGGGCGAUAAUCAAACCAAUCUUAUCCUAAGUACAUGUUAGCUACAACUCACACUUCAUUAAUGAUUGUGAAUCUACAAACACUUCAGAGUAAGACUAACAAAGUUUACUAUAAUAAAGAUAAGUGCUACACUUGAACUUGACUCCUGACACUUGCUCACUUUUAAGAACGAGGACUAGAAGAAAGAGAAAGGAUAAAGGAAAUUUAGAUAUAUAACUCUUUCAGACUUCACAUGUCUACUUAAUCUGAUCAUGAACAGGAUAACUGAAUUUACAAUAAACAUGCAUAGUGAUGAGCUAAUUCAACCUAUGAUCCGAGGAACAAAGGUCAAAUCUAAUUACCUCCUUGCGGGCAAUUUGAAAGCUGAUGGAAAGUGAGAAAGCAGGCAUCUAAAUCUUUUAAUGUUGGUCCAGUAGGGAUACGAUAAAUUGGGUACCUACACAAUGCAUAAGGAAUUUAACCUAUUAGUAGCUGCAAUCAUCCAUCCAGCACCAAUUUUGUAUAUAUAGAGAGAACAUACCAAGCGAUGCUCAUCCAACUCCGCGCUGAUAAAUCACAACUCCUAAGGGUCCUCAAUCCUGGAAAUCUAGCUGAAAGGCUAGAAAUCUGAACAACAAAUUUGUCAGAACACGAAAAUACCAUGAAAACUACACAAAGUUGUAACUUCUUGCCUUAUCAGUGAAAGGUUCACGGCAAAACGGAGAAUCAAACUCGAGGUACUGAAAGAGCAAGCGGCCAUGAGUAACUCCAGAUUCACCAACAUCCCUUGAGAAGCC
Molecule: long non-coding RNA, 4590 nt
Filed under: Triticum aestivum (bread wheat)
Lineage: Eukaryota; Viridiplantae; Streptophyta; Magnoliopsida; Poales; Poaceae
Description: long non-coding RNA (TAES_LNC000165)
Source: RNAcentral